This 497-nucleotide ribosomal RNA is filed under the name uncultured bacterium. Its description in RNAcentral is "partial 16S ribosomal RNA". It matches the Rfam family "Bacterial small subunit ribosomal RNA", at positions 28 to 507 of the family's 1533-position model. The record is from RNAcentral.
GAUGAACGCUGGCGGCGUGCCUAAUACAUGCAAGUCGAGCGAACAGACGAGGAGCUUGUUCCUCUGACGUUAGCGGCGGACGGGUGAGUAACACGUGGAUAACCUACCUAUAAGACUGGGAUAACUUCGGGAAACCGGAGCUAAUACCGGAUAAUAUAUUGAACCGCAUGGUUCAAUAGUGAAAGACGGUUUUGCUGUCACUUAUAGAUGGAUCCGCGCCGCAUUAGCUAGUUGGUAAGGUAACGGCUUACCAAGGCAACGAUGCGUAGCCGACCUGAGAGGGUGAUCGGCCACACUGGAACUGAGACACGGUCCAGACUCCAACGGGAGGCAGCAGUAGGGAAUCUUCCGCAAUGGGCGAAAGCCUGACGGAGCAACGCCGCGUGAGUGAUGAAGGUCUUCGGAUCGUAAAACUCUGUUAUUAGGGAAGAACAAAUGUGUAAGUAACUAUGCACGUCUUGACGGUACCUAAUCAGAAAGCCACGGCUAACUACGUG